This 1239-nucleotide ribosomal RNA is filed under the name Oceanobacillus sp. BRI 10. RNAcentral describes it as "bacterial SSU rRNA". It matches the Rfam family "Bacterial small subunit ribosomal RNA", at positions 182 to 1405 of the family's 1533-position model. Lineage: Bacteria; Bacillati; Bacillota; Bacilli; Caryophanales; Bacillaceae. The record is from RNAcentral.
UUCAUUCCUGAUGAGAAGUGAAAGGCGGCUUCUGCUGUCACUUACAGCAUGGGCAUGCGGCGCAUCAGCUAGUUGGUAAGGUAACGGCUUACCAAGGGCGACGAUGAGUAGCUGACAUGAGAGGGUGAUCGGCCACACUGGGACUGAGACACGGCCCAGACUCGUACGGGAGGCAGCAGUAGGGAAUCUUCCGCAAUGGACGAAAGUCUGAUGGAGCAACGCCGCGUGAGUGAUGAAGGUUUUCGGAUCGUAAAACUCUGUCGUUAGGGAAGAACAAGUACUAUAGUAACUGAUAGUACCUUGACGGUACCUAACCAGAAAGCCACGGCUAAUUACGUCCCAGCAGCCGCGGUAAUACGUAGGUGCCAAGCGUUUUCCGGAAUUAUUGGGCGUAAAGCGCUCGCGGGCGGUUCUUUAAGUCUGAUGUGAAAUCCUACGGUUCAACCGUAACCGUGCAUUGGAAACUGGGGAACUUGAGUGCAGAAGAGGAGAGUGGAAUUCCACGGGUAGCGGUGAAAUGCGUAGAGAUGUGGAGGAACACCAGUGGCGAAGGCGACUYUCUGGUCUGUAACUGACGCUGAGGAGCGAAAGCGUGGGGAGCGAACAGGUAUUAGAUACCCYGGUAGUCCACGCCGUAAACGAUGAGUGCUAGGUGUUAGGGGGUUUCCGCCCCUUAGUGCUGAAGUUAACGCAUUAAGCACUCCGCCUGGGGAGUACGGCCGCAAGGCUGAAACUCAAAAGAAUUGACGGGGGCCCGCACAAGCGGUGGAGCAUGUGGUUUAAUUCGAAGCAACGCGAAGAACCUUACCAGGUCUUGACAUCCUCUGAACACUCUAGAGAUAGAGUUUUCCCUUCGGGGACAGAGUGACAGGUGGUGCAUGGUUGUCGUCAGCUCGUGUCGUGAGAUGUUGGGUUAAGUCCCGCAACGAGCGCAACCCUUGAUCUUAGUUGCCAGCAUUAAGUUGGGCACUCUAAGGUGACUGCCGGUGACAAACCGGAGGAAGGUGGGGAUGACGUCAAAUCAUCAUGCCCCUUAUGACCUGGGCUACACACGUGCUACAAUGGAUGGAACAAAGGGAAGCGAACCCGCGAGGUCAAGCAAAUCCCACAAAACCAUUCUCAGUUCGGAUUGUAGGCUGCAACUCGCCUACAUGAAGCCGGAAUCGCUAGUAAUCGCGGAUCAGCAUGCCGCGGUGAAUACGUUCCCGGGCCUUGCACACCCCCGCCCCGUCAAAUAGU